This 1926-nucleotide long non-coding RNA is filed under the name Triticum aestivum (bread wheat). Its description in RNAcentral is "long non-coding RNA (TAES_LNC026064)". Lineage: Eukaryota; Viridiplantae; Streptophyta; Magnoliopsida; Poales; Poaceae. The record is from RNAcentral.
GCUAGCGUAAUUUGGAUGUGAGAUUUUCUUUGCAAUACAAACAUAAUCAAUGAAGCAGUAGUAUAUAUCUUCGGCCAGAAACAAAUACAAAUACACUCCUCUAAUAAAAAAAUAUAGAAAUACACAGUACCCCUACUUAGGUCCUACACGCUAUGCCCUAAUCUGCAUUAAGCAGGAUAAGAACAAAAAGAGAGCGGGGCCAGGCCAUGCCAUUUGCAGAAGCUCUCACGCACAUCCGAACAGAGCUGAUGCUCCAAGCAUCCAAACGCUCAGGUCCCCCGGGAUCUUCCAUUUGGCUCACUCCAGCAGCUGCCAGAUCGCCAUCGUGGCGCGAGCGACUAGCUACAAAUCUGGGCGCUGAACACCCUGCGAUACCUCCUGCCACUGCCAGGCAAGACCAGGCCUACUAAGCUCCUGCCAGCCAAGGAGGGCCUACUUAGGCUGGUCAUAGUGGGGAGUAACUUAUACUAAUGUCAUGCAUAUGACACUAGUCUAAGUUACUACCUUCAUAGUGCAAAGUAACAUACUAGUAGUGUCAUAUGUGGCUUCAUUUAAUGGCUUGUAGACUCAUCAUGUCUUGGGAAACGCUAUGUUACAGUAACAUAUUAUGUUACUACUUCUCAUUAACUACAUGCCACAUAAGCAAAAAUUUCUCGAAGUGUGCUAUGUUACUAUCUAAGUUACUCCCACUAUGACUAGCCUUAGGAAAAUGAUCAGCAACAAAAAAAUAUGCUUACAUCUGAGCUGACGCAGCCAAACCGAUGCGUACGACCGAGCUGAUGCACCAAGUGUCCUAGUCAUCCUCUGAUGUGGACACCUGCAAAAAAAACAGCUCCUCGCAUUAAAAUUAUCGGCAGAGUUUACCCCUAGGCCAGCCGCUGUCAAGGAAGAGGGGUUUUCAUCGGCCGUCGCUUUCCCGGCGAAGAAGAUCUGGUUUCACAAUGUUGAAUCAGUUUGGGUCUGCAGGACAAAGACAGCCUUUAAUUAAGGGUGCACUCCUAACAUCAUUCAAGCACUUUCUACUAGUGGUUCUGGCACUGAAACCGAUCGGUACAUAAAUUAUUUCACCACCAUGGCGAGUGCAAUGAAAGCUCUGGGGAUUUUGUUACUUCAUAAUUCUCAAAUGUUUACUCAGUCUAUGUAUUAUUUAGACAGCUGCAUGUACUUGAGAGUAAAAAACAGAGAAAAACUUGAGAAGCAAUAGAAGAAGAGGAUAGUGAACAAAGAAAAAGAGAGACAGGUUCCUUCAAACAGCUUUUGUGUUUGAAGUUGAAAUCUAAUGUUAAAAAUCCAGCAAAAACAAAAAAUCAUGGUGAGUUACUGACUCAAAUGGGAAAAGGUCAUCUGUGAAGGAGUGCACUCCGAAGGGUGAGCGAAUAGGAUAUGCAGCUCUUGUGGCCAGUUUUGUUAUCCUACUCGUCUUUAGGUUGGCAUCGCACCUUGUUGACACAUUUAUCUGUGUCAUUUUCCGUUUUUUACCCAACUGUCAACCACAUCUAACUUUAUGGUUGCUCUUGUGAAUGGACUUACCUGUGAACAAACAAGACAAUGACACUAUAAAAGCAGAAGUUCACUCAGCAGCUAGAGCAAUAGACACACAGCGCUAGUCAAUUACCUGGUAGGCAUAGCAUGGGAGAAACAAAUAAUGCAAGAGCUGAUGGUGGAGUCAAGGGUGGAGAAGAGGAAGAGAAAGGCAGGAAGAAGAUGACCAAGGGUGGUAAGGCGUCGUUCCAUGACCUGUUCAAGAACGCGGACGCCGCUGAUGUGGUGCUGAUGCUGGUUGGCACGGUCGCCGCGCUUGCGAGCGGCAUGUCACAGGUCGUCAUGUCGAUCAUCUUCGGGCGGAUGGUAGAUGCCUUUGGAGGUGCCACCCGGGACACCAUCCUUCCCCGAGUCGACAAGGUACCCUUUUGCUUCUGUAUGAAU